Operophtera brumata (winter moth) is the source of this 73-nucleotide transfer RNA. It matches the Rfam family "tRNA". Rfam says of the family: Transfer RNA (tRNA) molecules are approximately 80 nucleotides in length. Their secondary structure includes four short double-helical elements and three loops (D, anti-codon, and T loops). The record is from Rfam. Lineage: Eukaryota; Metazoa; Arthropoda; Insecta; Lepidoptera; Geometridae.
CGUUCUAUGGGCGAACUAGUGAAGGCAUCGCCGAUCACAGGCGAAGAUGCGGGUUCGAGUCCCGCUCGAACGA